GGCGGUUCUCAGGUGACACACUCCAGAAUCGGGCUCCCUCCUCUCUGGUUCCGACUGCGUCACCCAAGAACCGCU
Molecule: non-coding RNA, 75 nt
Organism: Myotis lucifugus (little brown bat)
Lineage: Eukaryota; Metazoa; Chordata; Mammalia; Chiroptera; Vespertilionidae
Source: Rfam